RNAcentral lists this ribosomal RNA (1100 nucleotides) under Solariella sp. 4 LS-2013. RNAcentral's name for it is "eukaryotic LSU rRNA". It matches the Rfam family "Eukaryotic large subunit ribosomal RNA", at positions 385 to 1310 of the family's 3401-position model. Lineage: Eukaryota; Metazoa; Mollusca; Gastropoda; Trochida; Solariellidae. The record is from RNAcentral.
GAGUUCAAGAGUACGUGAAACCGUCUAGAGGUAAGCGGGUGGACCCGUCCAGUCGGCCCUCGGAAUUCAGCUUUUGGACAGUCCGCUGGCGCAGUCCUGGGAUCCCUGGUGACUCGCUCGGCGUCAGAUCGGACUCCUGAGAGUGCACUUUCCGUGUUGGCAGAGCGUCACGACCGGUUUGGCGGCGGUGAUAAGGCCUCGGGGAAGGUAGGUCGUGGAGCUUCGGCCCUGCGACUGUUAUAGACCCGUGGAGAUGGCCGCUGCUAGACUGUGGAUCGACCCGUCGCAUGGCAGUGGGGCUGCCCGCGUGCGUUCGACUCGGAAGGACAGGCUCGCCGUGCUUCCGGACUGCGCUGCGUGGGCGGACCCCGCGAUAGCCAGCGAUGCGUUAGGGUCAGUGACACACGAUCGGUAAUCCACCCGGCCCGUCUUGAAACACGGACCAAGAAGUCCAACAUGUGCGCGAGUCAUUGGGUCCUACGAAACCUAAAGGCGUAAUGAAGGUGAAGGCAGGUCCGGCCUGCUGAGGUGAGAUCCCCGUCCUCGGGCGGGGCGCAUCACCGGCCCGUCUGUAAAGGCGGAGCAAGAGCGCACACGUUGGGACCCGAAAGAUGGUGAACUAUGCCUGAGCAGGAUGAAGCCAGAGGAAACUCUGGUGGAAGUCCGUAGCGAUUCUGACGUGCAAAUCGAUCGUCGAACUUGGGUAUAGGGGCGAAAGACUAAUCGAACCAUCUAGUAGCUGGUUCCCUCCGAAGUUUCCCUCAGGAUAGCUGGCGCUCGUCCUAACAGUUUUAUCCGGUAAAGCGAAUGAUUAGAGGCCUUGGGGACGAAACGUCCUCAACCUAUUCUCAAACUUUAAAUGGGUAAGGAGUCGGACUCGCUUGAUUGGAGUCCGGACUGGAAUGUGAGUGCCAAGUGGGCCACUUUUGGUAAGCAGAACUGGCGCUGUGGGAUGAACCAAACGUCCGGUUAAGGUGCCUAACACUGACGCUCAUGAGAUACCAUAAAAGGUGUUGGUUGAUAUAGACAGCAGGACGGUGGCCAUGGAAGUCGGAAUCCGCUAAGGAGUGUGUAACAACUCACCUGCCGAAUCAACCAGC